This 241-nucleotide long non-coding RNA is filed under the name Helianthus annuus (common sunflower). Its description in RNAcentral is "sRNA HanXRQr2_Chr05g0206251". The record is from RNAcentral. Lineage: Eukaryota; Viridiplantae; Streptophyta; Magnoliopsida; Asterales; Asteraceae.
UUUGUUAAACCAUAUCACAUGAGUUCCAACACUCAUUUGGUUUACGAGACUUCAUUCUAUCCGAUCGUCCGAUUUAGGCGUCUAGUUUUGUUGGAGUUCUAUUUGAUCGAGGAUACUUUGCACUUCAUGUGUUGAUGCUUGAUUGAUUUCUAGGAUGCAUGCGUCACAUAGGAUCUGGACGAGGCCUUAGUGACAUAAUAACGAUGAUAGACGAUAUAAAACUUGUUUGUUCUAUGUGUUA